Non-coding RNA from Tetradesmus obliquus, 82 nucleotides. The record is from the annotation of a GenBank genome assembly. NCBI's taxonomy places the organism in Eukaryota, Viridiplantae, Chlorophyta, Chlorophyceae, Sphaeropleales, Scenedesmaceae.
GCAUCGGUGGCAGAGUGGUCAAUGCGUUGGACUUGAAAUCCAAUGGGGCUCCCCCGCGCAGGUUCGAAUCCUGUCCGAUGCG